RNAcentral lists this ribosomal RNA (503 nucleotides) under uncultured bacterium. RNAcentral describes it as "partial 16S ribosomal RNA". It matches the Rfam family "Bacterial small subunit ribosomal RNA", at positions 30 to 523 of the family's 1533-position model. The record is from RNAcentral.
AUUGAACGCUGGCGGCAGGCUUAACACAUGCAAGUCGAGCGGGGUGAUGGUGCUUGCACUAUCACUUAGCGGCGGACGGGUGAGUAAUGCUUAGGAAUCUGCCUAUUAGUGGGGGACAACAUCUCGAAAGGGAUGCUAAUACCGCAUACGUCCUACGGGAGAAAGCAGGGGAUCACUUGUGACCUUGCGCUAAUAGAUGAGCCUAAGUCGGAUUAGCUAGUUGGUGGGGUAAAGGCCUACCAAGGCGACGAUCUGUAGCGGGUCUGAGAGGAUGAGCCGGCACGCUGGGCCUGAGACACGGCCCCGACUCCUACGGGAGGCAGCAGUGGGGAAUAUUGGACAAUGGGGGGAACCCUGAUCCAGCCAUGCCGCGUGUGUGAAGAAGGCCUUAUGGUUGUAAAGCACUUUAAGCGAGGAGGAGGCUCUUUUGGUUAAUACCCAAGAUGAGUGGACGUUACUCGCAGAAUAAGCACCGGCUAACUCUGUGCCAGCAGCCGCGGUAA